AAUCAACGCUGGCGGCGCGCUUAACACAUGCAAGUCGCACGAGAAAGCAGGAGCAAUCUUGUGAGUAAAGUGGCGUACGGGUGAGUAACACGUGGAUCAUCUACCUCUUGGUGGGGAAUAACCCUGGGAAACCGGGGCUAAUACCGCAUAAGCCUGCGAAGGGAAAGCAGCAAUGCGCCGAGAGAGGAGUCCGCGGCCGAUUAGCUAGUUGGCGGGGUAACGGCCCACCAAGGCGAAGAUCGGUAGCCGGCCUGAGAGGGCACACGGCCACACUGGCACUGAAACACGGGCCAGACUCCUACGGGAGGCAGCAGUGGGGAAUCUUGCACAAUGGAGGAAACUCUGAUGCAGCGACGCCGCGUGAGCGAUGAAGCCCCUCGGGGUGUAAAGCUCUUUCGACGGGAAAGAUAAUGACGGUACCCGAAGAAGAAGCUGCGGCUAACUACGUGCCAGCAGCCGCGGUAAUACGUAGGCAGCAAGCGUUGUUCGGAAUUACUGGGCGUAAAGAGUGUGUAGGCGGUGCUCUAAGUCUGUUGUGAAAUCUCCCGGCUUAACUGGGAGGGUGCGGCGGAGACUGGAGUGCUAGAGUGUGGGAGAGGUAAGCGGAAUUCCUGGUGUAGCGGUGAAAUGCGUAGAUAUCAGGAGGAACACCUGUGGUGUAGACAGCUUACUGGACCACGACUGACGCUGAGACACGAAAGCGUGGGUAGCAAACAGGAUUAGAUACCCUGGUAGUCCACGCCCUAAACGAUGCAUACUUGGUGUGAGCCAUUCAUUUGGUUCGUGCCGGAGCUAACGCGUUAAGUAUGCCGCCUGGGGAGUACGGUCGCAAGGCUG
This 837-nucleotide ribosomal RNA is filed under the name uncultured bacterium. RNAcentral describes it as "bacterial SSU rRNA". It matches the Rfam family "Bacterial small subunit ribosomal RNA", at positions 28 to 896 of the family's 1533-position model. The record is from RNAcentral.